RNAcentral lists this transfer RNA (93 nucleotides) under candidate division CSSED10-310 bacterium. RNAcentral's name for it is "tRNA-Ser". It matches the Rfam family "tRNA". Rfam says of the family: Transfer RNA (tRNA) molecules are approximately 80 nucleotides in length. Lineage: Bacteria; candidate division CSSED10-310. The record is from RNAcentral.
GGAGAGGUGUCCGAGAGGCCGAAGGAGCACGACUGGAAAUCGUGUUGGUGGGCAAAACCUGCCACGUGGGUUCAAAUCCCACCCUCUCCGCCA